This 256-nucleotide ribosomal RNA is filed under the name uncultured bacterium. RNAcentral describes it as "partial 16S ribosomal RNA". It matches the Rfam family "Bacterial small subunit ribosomal RNA", at positions 521 to 776 of the family's 1533-position model. The record is from RNAcentral.
UAAUACGGAGGGUGCAAGCGUUAAUCGGAAUUACUGGGCGUAAAGCGUGCGCAGGCGGUCUGUUAAGUCUGCUGUGAAAUCCCCGAGCUCAACUUGGGAAUUGCAGUGGAUACUGGCAGGCUGGAGUACGGUAGAGGAAGGUGGAAUUCCCGGUGUAGCAGUGAAAUGCGUAGAGAUCGGGAGGAACACCAGUGGCGAAGGCGGCCUUCUGGACCAGUACUGACGCUCAUGCACGAAAGCGUGGGGAGCAAACAGG